AACGAACGCUGGCGGCAUGCCUAACACAUGCAAGUCGAACGAGACCUUCGGGUCUAGUGGCGCACGGGUGCGUAACGCGUGGGAACCUGCCCUUAGGUUCGGAAUAACUCCCCGAAAGGGGUGCUAAUACCGGAUAAUGUCUUCGGACCAAAGAUUUAUCGCCUUUGGAUGGGCCCGCGUUGGAUUAGCUAGUUGGUAGGGUAAAAGCCUACCAAGGCGACGAUCCAUAGCUGGUCUGAGAGGAUGAUCAGCCACACUGGGACUGAGACACGGCCCAGACUCCUACGGGAGGCAGCAGUGGGGAAUAUUGGACAAUGGGCGAAAGCCUGAUCCAGCAAUGCCGCGUGAGUGAUGAAGGCCUUAGGGUUGUAAAGCUCUUUUACCCGGGAUGAUAAUGACAGUACCGGGAGAAUAAGCGCCGGCUAACUUCGUG
RNAcentral lists this ribosomal RNA (433 nucleotides) under uncultured bacterium. RNAcentral's name for it is "partial 16S ribosomal RNA". It matches the Rfam family "Bacterial small subunit ribosomal RNA", at positions 29 to 507 of the family's 1533-position model. The record is from RNAcentral.